GGCAGUCUGGUGCCAGCAGCCGCGGUAAUUCCAGCUCCAAUAGCGUAUAUUAAACUUGUUGCAGUUAAAAAGCUCGUAGUUGAAUUUCUGCGUUAUCGAGUUAUUGACUCUUGUCUUUAAUCGAUUUCGCUUUUGGGAUUUAUCCCUUUUUACUUUGAGAAAAUUAGAGUGUUUCAAGCAGACUUUUGUCUUGAAUACUUCAGCAUGGAAUAAUAGAGUAGGACUUUGGUUCUAUUUUGUUGGUUUUUGAACCUUAGUAAUGGUUAAUAGGAACGGUUGGGGGCAUUCGUAUUUAACUGUCAGAGGUGAAAUUCUUAGAUUUGUUAAAGACGAACUACUGCGAAAGCAUUUGCCAAGGACGUUUCCAUUAAUCAAGAACGAAAGUUAGGGGAUCGAAGACGAUCAGAUACCGUCGUAGUCCUAACCA
RNAcentral lists this ribosomal RNA (427 nucleotides) under Babesia venatorum (nom. ined.). RNAcentral's name for it is "SSU rRNA". It matches the Rfam family "Eukaryotic small subunit ribosomal RNA", at positions 554 to 1032 of the family's 1831-position model. The record is from RNAcentral. Lineage: Eukaryota; Apicomplexa; Aconoidasida; Piroplasmida; Babesiidae.